This 497-nucleotide ribosomal RNA is filed under the name uncultured bacterium. Its description in RNAcentral is "partial 16S ribosomal RNA". It matches the Rfam family "Bacterial small subunit ribosomal RNA", at positions 28 to 507 of the family's 1533-position model. The record is from RNAcentral.
GACGAACGCUGGCGGCGUGCCUAAUACAUGCAAGUUGAGCGCUGAAGGUUGGUACUUGUACCAACUGGAUGAGCAGCGAACGGGUGAGUAACGCGUGGGGAAUCUGCCUUUGAGCGGGGGACAACAUUUGGAAACGAAUGCUAAUACCGCAUAAAAACUUUAAACACAAGUUUUAAGUUUGAAAGAUGCAAUUGCAUCACUCAAAGAUGAUCCCGCGUUGUAUUAGCUAGUUGGUGAGGUAAAGGCUCACCAAGGCGAUGAUACAUAGCCGACCUGAGAGGGUGAUCGGCCACCUUGGGACUGAGACACGGCCCAAACUCCUACGGGAGGCAGCAGUAGGGAAUCUUCGGCAAUGGACGAAAGUCUGACCGAGCAACGCCGCGUGAGUGAAGAAGGUUUUCGGAUCGUAAAACUCUGUUGGUAGAGAAGAACGUUGGUGAGAGUGGAAAGCUCAUCAAGUGACGGUAACUACCCAGAAAGGGACGGCUAACUACGUG